GAUGAACGCUGGCGGCGUGCUUAACACAUGCAAGUCGAACGGAAAGGCUCCUGCUUGCAGGGGUACUCGAGUGGCGAACGGGUGAGUAACACGUGGGUGAUCUGCCCUGCACUUCGGGAUAAGCCUGGGAAACUGGGUCUAAUACCGGAUAGGACGAUGGUUUGGAUGCCAUUGUGGAAAGUUUUUCGGUGUGGGAUGAGCUCGCGGCCUAUCAGCUUGUUGGUGGGGUAAUGGCCUACCAAGGCGUCGACGGGUAGCCGGCCUGAGAGGGUGUACGGCCACAUUGGGACUGAGAUACGGCCCAGACUCCUACGGGAGGCAGCAGUGGGGAAUAUUGCACAAUGGGCGGAAGCCUGAUGCAGCGACGCCGUGUGGGGGAUGAAGGCCUUCGGGUUGUAAACUCCUUUCGUCAGGGACGAAGUUUUUUUGACGGUACCUGGAUAAGAAGCACCGGCCAACUACGUGCCAGCCGCCGCGGUAA
This 481-nucleotide ribosomal RNA is filed under the name uncultured Actinomycetales bacterium. RNAcentral describes it as "bacterial SSU rRNA". It matches the Rfam family "Bacterial small subunit ribosomal RNA", at positions 28 to 523 of the family's 1533-position model. The record is from RNAcentral. Lineage: Bacteria; Bacillati; Actinomycetota; Actinomycetes; Actinomycetales.